UGGGGAUCAAUUACUUACCACCAAGGGAGAUUAGAGGAUGCGGAAGACAUUACAAAGGGCCCCAGCUGCCUCCUUUUUAUAAAGGUGAUUUAAAGCAAAGCACAGCAGCUUCACAGAAGCAUGUAAGACCCCACAUAACCACACAACAAAUAGAAAAACUAGAAGUAUGAUAGAAAGUGACUGACUGGAAGACACUUUGCCACCAUGACCCAAGAUUUUCCAGAUCUGAUUAAGAAAACAAGCUCCAAUGAUUUUCUGAGUGCAUUUCAGGAACGUAGAACAGGGUGGUGAGGCGUCCGCCAGAAUUUUGAUGAAACCACUGCACAGUGUCCGAAGAAAAAGAAAAAUUGCACGUCAUCGUACAGCUGGCUCCCUCCUGGAGGCUCAGGACUGAAGGACUCUGCUCUACCUGCUGCCCUGUCACACCUGAUCAGAAACAGAAAAACAGUCCCUUGUAACAUCCCUGUAGACUAUGAGGAAGAGAGAAAGAAGAUAGAAAGCCUGGAAGACUUCUGAACUCCUUUCCCUCCCUCCCCUCAACAAUACUGCAGGUACAAAAUGCUUUCAGAUUCCCACCUGGGACAGCCCCAACUUACAGCAAACCUGGGCACACAGAAAUCCCGGCAGAGUGCUCAAUCGCCUCUUCAUGAUGUUUUGCCUUGUUGCUUGGGACAUUUUCACCAUAACAUAUAUUACAAUAACCCCUGGGCUGGUGAGUAUCAUGACUUGGUUGUGGAACUGUUCCUGCUCUUGCAACCAAUCAGCUCCACACUAUAAACCUCCCUCUGCCCCCUCAGGCCCAGGCAAUACUGAGUUCCUUCAGGUGGCUCAGGAACAGGAAGCCCCACCUCCAGCCUCAACCUAACCAAGUGGGGUGGAGAGUGAUAGAGUGAGACAGGAAAAAGAAAGGUCAUUUUUCUAUUACUUGAAGGACAUUUUCUGGUAAUCCUAGAUGUGGUAAGGAGCAUGAGAGUUUGCAUGAGAAGGGGAGAGACCCCCUCAGGGGGAAAACAUGCUUCAUCUAUGCUAAUUACAGACUUGGGAGCAUCACAGAAUCCACAUUUUUAAACCCAAAAAACAAGCAUAAAAGAAUUUUACUGACCUACAAAUUAACUUAUUUGAUAAUUCAUACUAGUCAUAUAAAGUAAUAAAAGUAUUAAUUCCAUGUAUUAUAUAUUUCAUGAGUUCUUAUUUUUGGAAUAUGUGAAAUAUAUGGAAAUAUUUAUGUAUAUGUGUAUUUGAAUUAUAUAGGGUUCCUAUGCAGCAGAAUCAACUCAGUGCCAACAGGUUUGGUUUUGGGUUUUGGUAUAUUUGAACUGUAUGUUCGAAUUCAUAUGUAUAUGAACUGGGACUUUUUUUCAAUAACCAAGACUUCUGGCAAAUAUUGUUAUAAGAAAUUACCCUCAAUAAGAAUGUAAAUUGUAAGGAAAAAAUAGAACAAUUCAGAUAUCAUUUCUACAUCUUCCUCUCCUUGACAUAGUUUUCUGAUUUUUAUCAGUAAAAACUUCCUGGGUACCACACACAGUCCUGUUAAUCUUUUUUUCUAAUUCCUCUGUAUCCCAUUUUCCGUUUUUCCCCUCUCAUUACUUUUCUAUUUCCAUAUCCUCCCUUUUUCUUACCUCUCUCCUUUUUUUUUUUUU
Long non-coding RNA from Loxodonta africana (African savanna elephant), 1640 nucleotides. RefSeq lists it as uncharacterized. The transcript has 3 exons. Lineage: Eukaryota; Metazoa; Chordata; Mammalia; Proboscidea; Elephantidae. The record is from RefSeq and is a predicted model, not a curated record.